RNAcentral lists this unclassified non-coding RNA (137 nucleotides) under uncultured Ascomycota. Its description in RNAcentral is "sequence contains ITS1". Lineage: Eukaryota; Fungi; Ascomycota. The record is from RNAcentral.
AAGAGUUGCAAAACUCCCACAAACCAUCGCGAACGUUACCCUGACGUCGUUGCUUCGGCGGGCUCGCCCGCCGGGGGGACGCUACCAAACUCUUUGCAGUCAUUGGCCUCUCUGAGUAUGAUUUUUUAAAUAAGUCA